This 500-nucleotide ribosomal RNA is filed under the name uncultured bacterium. RNAcentral describes it as "partial 16S ribosomal RNA". It matches the Rfam family "Bacterial small subunit ribosomal RNA", at positions 30 to 523 of the family's 1533-position model. The record is from RNAcentral.
AUUGAACGCUGGCGGCAGGCCUAACACAUGCAAGUCGAGCGGAUGACGGGAGCUUGCUCCUUGAUUCAGCGGCGGACGGGUGAGUAAUGCCUAGGAAUCUGCCUGGUAGUGGGGGACAACGUUCCGAAAGGAACGCUAAUACCGCAUACGUCCUACGGGAGAAAGCAGGGGACCUUCGGCCCUUGCGCUCUCAGAUGAGCCUAGGUCGGAUUAGCUAGUAGGUGAGGUAAUGGCUCACCUAGGCGACGAUCCGUAACUGGUCUGAGAGGAUGAUCAGUCACACUGGAACUGAGACACGGUCCAGACUCCUACGGGAGGCAGCAGUGGGGAAUAUUGGACAAUGGGCGAAAGCCUGAUCCAGCCAUGCCGCGUGUGUGAAGAAGGUCUUCGGAUUGUAAAGCACUUUAAGUUGGGAGGAAGGGUUGUACGUUAAUACCGUGCAAUUUUGACGUUACCGACAGAAUAAGCACCGGCUAACUCUGUGCCAGCCGCCGCAGUAA